AUGGCGGACAGAGUGAUGAAGCUGGCGUCGCAGCGGGCGGUGGUGAUCUUUGGGGCGAGCAACUGCUUCAUGUGCCAUGCAGUGAAGACGCUGUUCACAGAGCUGGGCGUGAGCUGGACGGUGCACGAGCUGGACAAGGACCCCCGCGGGAAGGACGUCGAGAGGGCGCUCGUUGGCAUGGUCGGACGGAGCCCGCCCAUCCCAGCCGUCUUCAUCGGCGGCAGGCUUGUCGGCACCACCGACCAGGUCAUGACACUGCACGUCGGUGGCCAGCUCGUGCCGCUCCUCCGCCAGGCCGGCGCCCUCUGGCUCUGA
RNAcentral lists this ribosomal RNA (315 nucleotides) under Triticum aestivum (bread wheat). RNAcentral describes it as "partial small subunit ribosomal RNA". Lineage: Eukaryota; Viridiplantae; Streptophyta; Magnoliopsida; Poales; Poaceae. The record is from RNAcentral.